This 255-nucleotide ribosomal RNA is filed under the name uncultured bacterium. RNAcentral's name for it is "partial 16S ribosomal RNA". It matches the Rfam family "Bacterial small subunit ribosomal RNA", at positions 524 to 777 of the family's 1533-position model. The record is from RNAcentral.
UACGUAGGGGGCGAGCGUUGUCCGGAUUUAUUGGGCGUAAAGAGCGUGUAGGCGGCCUGGAAGGUCAGCUGUGAAAACUCGAGGCUCAACCUCGAGACGUCGGUUGAAACCACCUGGCUAGAGUCCGGAAGAGGAGAGUGGAAUUCCCGGUGUAGCGGUGAAAUGCGCAGAUAUCGGGGAAGAACACCCGUGGCGAAGGCGGCUCUCUGGGACGGUACUGACGCUGAGACGCGAAAGCGUGGGGAGCGAACGAGG